RNAcentral lists this ribosomal RNA (254 nucleotides) under uncultured bacterium. RNAcentral describes it as "partial 16S ribosomal RNA". It matches the Rfam family "Bacterial small subunit ribosomal RNA", at positions 524 to 776 of the family's 1533-position model. The record is from RNAcentral.
UACGGAGGGGGCAAGCGUUGUUCGGAAUUACUGGGCGUAAAGGGCUCGUAGGCGGCCAUCUAAGUCGGAUGUGAAAUCCCCAGGCUUAACCUGGGAACUGCAUCCGAUACUGGAUGGCUUGAAUCCGGGAGAGGGAUGCAGAAUUCCAGGUGUAGCGGUGAAAUGCGUAGAUAUCUGGAGGAAUACCGGUGGCGGAGGCGGCAUCCUGGACCGGCAUUGGCGCUGAGUGAGCGAAAGCCAGGGGAGCAAACGGG